This 491-nucleotide ribosomal RNA is filed under the name uncultured bacterium. RNAcentral's name for it is "bacterial SSU rRNA". It matches the Rfam family "Bacterial small subunit ribosomal RNA", at positions 28 to 507 of the family's 1533-position model. The record is from RNAcentral.
GAUGAACGCUAGCCUACAGGCUUAACACAUGCAAGUCGAGGGGCAGCAUUAGGGUAGCCAAUACUGAGAUUGGCGACCGGCGCACGGGUGCGUAACGCGUAUCCAACCUUCCCGUUACUCUUGGAUAGCCUUCCGAAAGGGAGAUUAAUACCAGGAUGGUGUUUGAAUUCCGCAUGUUAUUCAAACUAAAGAUUUAUCGGUAACGGAUGGGGAUGCGUGACAUUAGGUAGAUGGCGGGGUAACGGCCCACCAUGCCUACGAUGUCUAGGGGUUCUGAGAGGAAGGUCCCCCACACUGGAACUGAGACACGGUCCAGACUCCUACGGGAGGCAGCAGUGAGGAAUAUUGGUCAAUGGCCGGAAGGCUGAACCAGCCAAGUAGCGUGAAGGAUGAAGGUUCUAUGGAUUGUAAACUUCUUUUAUACGGGAAUAAAACCACCUACGUGUAGGUGCUUGUAUGUACCGUAUGAAUAAGCAUCGGCUAACUCCGUG